AGAUUGAACGCUGGCGGCAGGCCUAACACAUGCAAGUCGAGCGGUAGAGAGGUGCUUGCAUCUCUUGAGAGCGGCGGACGGGUGAGUAAUGCCUAGGAAUCUGCCUGGUAGGUGGGGGAUAACGGCUACGGAAACGGACGCUAAUACCGCAUACGUCCUACGGGAGAAGCGAGGGGACCUUCGGGCCUUGCGCUAUCAGAUGAGCCUAGGUCGGUAUUGCGUAGUUGGUGAGGUAAUGGCUACACCAAGGCCGACGACUACCGUAACUGGGUCUAGGAAGAGGG
Molecule: ribosomal RNA, 284 nt
Filed under: uncultured soil bacterium
Lineage: Bacteria
Description: partial 16S ribosomal RNA
Rfam family: Bacterial small subunit ribosomal RNA
Source: RNAcentral